RNAcentral lists this ribosomal RNA (436 nucleotides) under Scardovia sp. oral taxon 195. RNAcentral's name for it is "bacterial SSU rRNA". It matches the Rfam family "Bacterial small subunit ribosomal RNA", at positions 364 to 803 of the family's 1533-position model. Lineage: Bacteria; Bacillati; Actinomycetota; Actinomycetes; Bifidobacteriales; Bifidobacteriaceae. The record is from RNAcentral.
UUGCACAAUGGGCGCAAGCCUGAUGCAGCGACGCCGCGUGCGGGAUGGAGGCCUUCGGGUUGUAAACCGCUUUUAUAGGGGGGCAAGCUAUGCCUGUGUGGUGUGGUGAGUGGACUUUAUGAAUAAGCACCGGCUAACUACGUGCCAGCGGCCGCGGUAAUACGUAGGGUGCAAGCGUUGUCCGGAUUUAUUGGGCGUAAAGGGCUCGUAGGCGGUUUGUUGCGUCUGGUGUGAAAGCUUACUGCUUAACGGUAGGUUGCGCUGGAUACGGGCAGGCUUGAGUGCAGUAGGGGAGACUGGAAUUCUCGGUGUAACGGUGGAAUGUGUAGAUAUCGGGAAUAACACCUAUGGCGAAGGCAGGUCUCUGGGCUGUUACUGACGCUGAAGAGCGAAAGCGUGGGGAGCGAACAGGAUAAUACCCUGGUCUCCAUGCUGU